UAGCCUUGACAUUGAUUGCAUGGACCAGAGAUGGACCGGUGCCCUUCGGGGAACAUGAAAAC
This 62-nucleotide ribosomal RNA is filed under the name uncultured bacterium. RNAcentral describes it as "partial 16S ribosomal RNA". The record is from RNAcentral.